RNAcentral lists this ribosomal RNA (305 nucleotides) under uncultured bacterium. Its description in RNAcentral is "bacterial SSU rRNA". It matches the Rfam family "Bacterial small subunit ribosomal RNA", at positions 333 to 636 of the family's 1533-position model. The record is from RNAcentral.
GGUGACCUACGGGACGCAGCAGUGAGGAAUAUUGGUCAAUGGGCGGGAGCCUGAACCAGCCAAGCCGCGUGAAGGAAGAAGGCGCCAAGCGUCGUAAACUUCUUUUGUCGGGGAACAAAGGGCGCCACGUGUGGCGUUGUGAGAGUACCUGAAGAAAAAGCAUCGGCUAACUCCGUGCCAGCAGCCGCGGUAAUACGGAGGAUGCGAGCGUUAUCCGGAUGUAUUGGGUUUAAAGGGUGCGUAGGCGGAAUGCCAAGUCAGCGGUAAAAUCGCGGGGCUCAACCUCGCUCCGCCGUUGAAACUGG